AAACAUAUCGUCGCUGAAUCGUCCAGCAGUAUCGUCUGUGAAGUAGUUUCGCUCCGUAUUCUUCUCACUAGCCCCACCGCAACACCCCAUGUACUCCUCCACCACUACUCCCUCUCGCUUUCAUGUGGGCCCUCAACUCCGUGACCCACAAGUCGGCCAAGUUGUAAGAUUCCUGUAAGCUGUAGCCUUCUCCUCCCCCAGCAUAGGCGAUGGUCCCGUCGCCCAGUAGAACAAUUUACUACAGGGAAGAGAGAGGGAGGAAGAAAGCUAUCAACGGCGACGCGGCGGUCCAGCAGAUCCGUACUGCUCGGGGGAUCUGGGGGAAGGGAGAACCGGCGGGGGCCGCCUAUGCGUCGGUGAGGUGGGGCCCAGUAGGCGGUAGAGCAGGAAUGGCGGCGGCGGUGUUGGGGAGAGGGAGGUGGCGACCGGUGGUCGUCGCUGUGUUGAUGGUUGUUGCGGGGGUGGGCCAUGUCUUCGCCAACACGGAGGGUGAUGCUCUGUAUAACCUGCGUCAGAGUCUGAAGGAUAGCAACAAUGUAUUGCAGAGUUGGGAUCCCACUCUUGUUAAUCCUUGUACAUGGUUUCAUGUUACAUGUAACAAUGAUAACAGUGUAAUUAGAGUUGACCUUGGAAAUGCACAAUUAUCCGGUGUACUAGUGUCCCAGCUUGGGCAGCUGAAAAAUCUCCAAUAUUUGGAGCUUUACAGCAACAACAUAAGUGGGCCAAUACCUGCUGAACUGGGCAACCUAACUAGCCUGGUCAGUUUGGAUUUGUAUCUGAACAAGUUCACAGGAGUUAUUCCUGACAGCCUGGGGAAUCUUUUGAAGCUUCGAUUCCUCCGUCUUAACAACAACAGCAUGUCGGGUCAAAUUCCUAAAUCCUUGACUGAUAUCACUACUCUUCAAGUACUCGAUCUCUCAAACAACAACCUCUCAGGAGCAGUUCCAUCUACUGGCUCCUUUUCGCUCUUCACCCCUAUAAGUUUUGCGAAUAAUCCACUUCUUUGUGGUCCUGGUACCACAAAGCCCUGCCCUGGGGAUCCUCCUUUUUCCCCACCUCCUCCAUACAAUCCUCCAACACCACCAACUCAAUCAGCAGGUGCCUCUAGCACUGGAGCUAUCGCAGGUGGCGUUGCUGCUGGUGCUGCACUGGUGUUUGCUGUUCCUGCUAUUGCAUUUGCAAUGUGGCGCCGUCGUAAACCUGAAGAACAUUUCUUCGAUGUGCCUGCCGAGGAAGAUCCAGAAGUUCAUCUUGGUCAGCUUAAGAAGUUCUCAUUGCGAGAGCUUCAAGUUGCAUCUGACAACUUUAAUAAUAAGAACAUUUUAGGAAGAGGUGGUUUUGGAAAAGUGUACAAGGGGAGGCUUGCAGAUGGUACAUUGGUAGCGGUGAAAAGACUAAAAGAGGAACGUACCCCUGGUGGCGAGCUUCAGUUCCAAACAGAAGUUGAGAUGAUUAGCAUGGCAGUGCAUAGGAACCUUCUCCGACUUCGUGGUUUUUGCAUGACACCUACUGAACGAUUACUAGUCUAUCCAUACAUGGCCAAUGGCAGUGUUGCAUCACGUUUGCGAGAGCGUCAGCCAUCUGAACCACCCCUUGAUUGGGAUACCAGAAGACGAAUUGCACUUGGAUCUGCAAGGGGACUCUCUUACUUGCACGAUCACUGUGAUCCCAAGAUCAUCCACCGUGAUGUCAAAGCUGCAAAUAUUCUUUUGGACGAGGAUUUCGAGGCAGUUGUGGGUGAUUUUGGGCUUGCCAAACUUAUGGAUUACAAGGAUACUCAUGUAACUACUGCUGUUCGUGGAACAAUUGGACACAUUGCUCCUGAGUACCUAUCCACUGGAAAGUCCUCUGAGAAGACUGAUGUUUUCGGCUACGGAAUCACACUUCUGGAGCUUAUUACUGGGCAGAGGGCAUUUGAUCUUGCUCGCCUUGCAAAUGAUGAUGAUGUUAUGCUUCUUGACUGGGUGAAAGGAUUGUUGAAGGAGAAAAAAGUUGAGAUGCUGGUGGACCCAGACUUGCAGAGCAACUAUGAAGAGACCGAGGUGGAAUCGCUGAUCCAGGUAGCGCUGCUGUGCACGCAGGGCUCGCCAGUGGAGCGCCCCAAGAUGUCAGAGGUCGUGAGGAUGCUGGAAGGUGACGGCUUGGCAGAGAGAUGGGAGGAAUGGCAGAAGGUGGAGGUGGUCAGGCAGGAGGCAGAGUUGGCUCCUCUUCGCAACGACUGGAUUGUUGACUCCACAUAUAACCUCCGCGCCGUUGAACUGUCUGGCCCAAGAUGACCAACGUCGUUCUCUGGCAUAGGCAAAAAUCACCAUUUGAUCAGUCAUUCAGCCUAAUUGUUGUUUGUGAAUAUGAAAGGUAGCUUGUACUCUUUUGUUUAAUGACAAUUUUAAAGGAUGCAUUUUCCCCCCAUUCUCCUCCACACUGAGAAGUUAUGCUAGGCUGCAGUCAUUUGUUAAGGUGGAAGGCAUACAUUUUGUGUUGAAUUUGCAAUGCACUGUUGUAUCAAUCUGAUAAAAGUGCAACGUGUUAUUCUGUGAUCCCUUUGUCGGUGCAUAGACAUUCAUUUCUCUUCUUUUGUGGUGUCUUCAAAGCUAUUGUCAGUCAGUGUAAUCUCUGUAUCAAAAUAUAGGACCAUGUUUUGACACUAUGACAGUGGCAAG
This 2660-nucleotide ribosomal RNA is filed under the name Triticum aestivum (bread wheat). Its description in RNAcentral is "partial small subunit ribosomal RNA". The record is from RNAcentral. Lineage: Eukaryota; Viridiplantae; Streptophyta; Magnoliopsida; Poales; Poaceae.